Long non-coding RNA from Ziziphus jujuba (common jujube), 7587 nucleotides. RefSeq lists it as uncharacterized. Lineage: Eukaryota; Viridiplantae; Streptophyta; Magnoliopsida; Rosales; Rhamnaceae. The transcript has 3 exons. The record is from RefSeq and is a predicted model, not a curated record.
UAGCUGUCCUCUUCUACUCAAUGCAUCAGCAACCUUGUUUUCUGCACCAGAUUUGUGUUUGAUAACGAAUGAGUAUUCUUGCAAGAAAGAAAUCCAUUUCCCAUGCCGAUAAUUCAUCUUCUUUUGUGAGUUGAUGUACUUGAGGGCUUCAUGAUCUGAAAAUAGAAUAAACUCCUUUGAUAUGAGAUAAUGACGCCAAUAUCGCAAAGCUUGAACCACCGCAUAAAAUUCUUUGUCAUAAGUAGAAUACUUUUGCUUAGCUUCAUUGAAUUUCUCACUGAAAAAUGCAAUAGGAUGCCCUUCUUGACUAAGUAUGCCACCAAUUCCCACAUUAGAUGCAUCACAUGCUACCUUAAAAACCUUCGAAAAAUCUGGUAGUCGAAGAAUCGGUGCUUCAGUCAAUCUUUUCUUAACCUCUUCCAAAGCUUUUGUUGCUGUUUUGGCCCAAAGAAAUUGGUUUUUCUUCAUACAAUUAGUUAUUGGAGCCAUAAUCGAGCUGAAAUUUUGAAUAAAUCUUCAAUAAAAUGUAUCUAAUCCAUGAAAGCUUCGUACCUCUUGCAAUGAACUAGGAAUUGGCCACUCUAGGAUAGCUUUAAUCUUCAAAGGAUCCAUUUCCAGUCCUCUUGACGAAACAACAUAACCCAAGAAUACCACUGAUGAUGUCAUAAAACAACAUUUCUUCAUAUUUAUGUAGAGCUUCUCUUGUCGAAGAACUCUCAUAACUUGCUGCAAAUGUGAAAGAUGGUCUUCCCUGCUCUUGCUAUAUAUCAAUAUAUCAUCAAAAUAUACUACCAAAAAUUUACCAAAGAAUGGCUGUAGAAUUUGAUUCAUAAACCUCAUAAAUGUACUUGGAGCAUUUGAAAAACCAAAUGGCAUUACUAGCCAUUCAUAAAGACCAUCCUUUGUUUUGAAAGCUGUUUUCCAUUCAUCUCUGGGCCUUAGACGAAUUUGGUGAUAUCCACUUUUUAGAUCCAAUUUUGAAAAUAUACACGAACCAGCCAUCAUGUCCAACAUGUCAUCAAAUCGAGGGAUAGGGAAGCGAUAUUGGAUUGUAAUCUUGUUAAUCGCACAACUAUCAACACACAGUCACCAACUCCCAUCUUUCUUGGGUGUAAGCAAAGCAGGAACAGCAUAAGGACUUGAACUCUCACGGAUGAAUCCCUUAGACAGUAACUCCUCCACUUGCCUCUUAAGCUCCGCAUGCUCGCUAGGAUUCAUAUGAUAUACUAGAAGAUUAGGUAAUUGAGCUCCUGGUACAAGGUCUAUGGCAUGCUGAAUGUUACUUAAAGGAGGUAAUUCACUUGGAAACCCUUCCGGAACAAAAUCUAAAAAAUCAGACAGCAACUUCUGAAUCUCUACUGGAAACGUUUGCUUGCUGGUUGCUGUUUCCUUCUUUGUUUCCUUUGCUAGAACAGCAUAUAUAACUCCAUUUUUCUUACUUUCUCACUCAAAAUUCUUCUUAGUAAGAAUAUGUAGAGACUUUUGUGGAUUGUUAGAAGCCUUACUUGGUUUUUCCACCUUAUAUUUAUCCAUCUCAGCUACCGUCAUAGGCUUCAACACAACCUUCCUAUCUUUGAACAUGAAAUAGUAGGUAUUUCCUCUCCCACAGUGAAACACAUCUCUAUCAUAAAGCUAAGGACGACCAAGAAGAAUAUGUGUUACUUUCAUCGGAAUCACAUCACACCAAAUUGAGUCAUUGUAAACCCCACAUGAAAAAGAAACUAGACAGCGUUGGGUUACCGGAAUUGAAGUACAGUCAAUCCAUGCUACUUUAUAUGGAUGUGGAUGCGGUUCAAUAGGAAGUUUUAAUCAUCCUACCAUAGAUGCCGAAACAACAUUCAUACUACUACCACCAUCAAUGAUAAGUUUUUGUGCUUGAUUUUCACAACACACCAACAUUUGAAAAAUAGAGGUGCGUUUCCAAUCUUCCUUCUCAUCUUUCAGAAUUGAAAGGAUACGUCUAACAACAGCAUUUAAUGAAGUAUCUACUUCAUCUUCUUCCAAGUCAUCAGGAUUAUAAACUCCAUAGUUGAAAUUGUCUUCAUCUUCUUCUCUUUGUUGAUCAGGUUCUUCAUGAUGUUCUACAUCAAGACGUAGGUUUCUUUUAGGAUAAGUAUAUGCCAUAUGACCAGGCUGUCCACAUUUGAAACAUUGGUUGCCUUUUCCUCUAAGUUCAGAAGCAUUAGGAAAAGGUACCUUGGCCUUCAUAGGUUGUUUUGAAGGCUGAUUUCCUAUAACUCUGUUGCUGUGAUUUAUAUCAGAUCUUUUGAAACUUCCAAGAUACUCCUCCAAAUCCAAAGAAACUUGAAAAGCUUGCUCCAAGCUGUAGAUAGGUUGUCUUAGUAGCUCCCUCCUAGUGUCGGACCUCAAACCAGAUUUAAAUCUUGCUAAUGUUUGCCUUGGAUCUUCAAGUUGUUGGCUUCGAGUCUUCAACUCAUCAAACUUCUGCAUAUACUCAGCAACUAACAAAUUACUUUGCUUCAAGUUGAUUGCUUACUCACAUAAUUUAUCAUAGUAAUUGGUAGGCAUGUAUUUUUCCCUUAGCUUAGCUUUCAUCUCUUGCCAAGUACCAAUGGAUGGUAAUCCCAUUCUCCUUAAAUCUCCUUCAACACCCAUCCACCAAAUUUUGGCAAGACCUACUAGCUUCAUCUUAGCGAACCUUACUCUCCGAUCAUCAUCCAUAUCAUACCAAUCAAAAUAUUCUUCAAUGGAAGAAAGCCAGUCAGCAAACUCAGUUGGAUUUACUUUACCUUCGAAAUCUGGUAGUUUAAUCUUUACCCUCUUUGUGAUGUCAUCAAAAGUAUUGUGACGUCCUUGUGUUGAUUGCAAUAUAUCUCUCACCUAAUUAGGUGUCUGUUGGGCUGUAGGGAAAGGCACUGGAGCAAUAGUCUUUGCUAGCAGCUUCUCUUGACUUUUAUCAUCAUUGGCUUCAGGAUUCUCAUCUUGUUCAUUGUUAGUUGAAGAACUGCUAGGUUGAGAUAUUUGGGCUUCAAUAUUACUAACCUGAACAUUAAGAGACUCCACUUGUUUGACCAUACGAAUAAAUAAUUCUUCAAAUUGAUUGUUAGUUAUUCUACCUCUAAAACUCUUUCCAGAUCUCAUAGUCAUGAUUCCUUAAUUCAAAGAAACAAUCUGAUCACCGGAUACUGUUCACGCUACGGGUUACUGUUCACGCCGAAGAAUUACUGUUGACGGAACUGCUUACGCGGCUAGGGUUGGAACCAGGCUCUGAUACCAAACUGAUGUAGGACAGGUAGAGAAAGAAAGAAAAUAGAAAAGAAAUAGAUAGGAUUCUAGUAUCACACUAGAUUGAUUUUAGGAAUCACUCCCAAAAUCCUAGGCAUCACACCUAAGUUUGUUUUGCAUCACACAAAACCAGAGAAAAUAAUCUCAUAAAAUUCUUGUAAUAUUGAUUCAUUCCUCCAAGAAUUACAAAGAACCCUAUCUAUAUUAAAAUCAUCUAAUAAUAUUAGGAAACUAAAAUAAUAGGAAACCUAGUUAAAUAAGGAAACUAAUAACAUUAAGAAACUGAAAAUAAUAGGAAACCUAAUUAAAUAAUAAAAUACUCUAAUUAAAAAUAGGAAACUAAAUUAAUCUACUAAAAUCCUUGAAGAUCCCAAACAAGCCCAUCUUGUCCUAGAUCAUGCCAAAUUAAUGUUUAAGCCUUAGAAUCUGUUUUUCCUCUUUUCUAAUAAGUUUUCAGAGGUUGUUUCCAUGUUGCAUCACUGAGUGCUUGGAAGUAGAGCCUAAUUUCAAUUUUUUUAUUAAGCUUUAUCUCAAUUAUGUUAUAUCAUAUAUGUCUUAUGUGAAAUUAUCUGAGUUCCUCGACAUGUAUUCUUUUUUGUCUUUUUGUCCUAUUGAAUGCAAUAUUUUACCAAGUUUCUCAAUCAUGUGAGUCUUAGCUCCUUCCACUUGGACUUUUUAAUUAAAAUUUUGUGUUUUUUCAUUCAUUUUGCUCGAAAAAAUUCAUCCCAUCAUGCUCAACUUUCCCUCCUCUUUUUCUGUUAGUGCUGCUUCCAACAUCAAAUAAGCUUGAACAUACUGCUUUUGAACCCAUCUGUUACUUUGUAGAAUAGAGUGGCUAACCUGAUGGUGGUACAUAGAAACUUCGCUUUACCAUUCCUCCGCUUUGUCCAUCUUGCUUUGUCCAUGGAUAACAUCCUGCACAAUGUAGUUAUUCCUAGGAAUCCAGAUUCUACAUAUACCAAAUAAUCAUUCUGUCACAACUAAUCAAGUAUUCAUCAUUUAUAUGACGAUUCCAUUAUCUUUAGUCUUUGUUUAAUUAACAUAGUUCCAUUUGUAUUUGAUCUUAAUUUUACAUAGUAAUUUUGGAUAUUCCUCAAUUUUAGACUUUAGAAGCAUGGUCAGUGUAGCUUAUAGGUUAUUCAUGGUUCAGAAUUUUAUAUAUAUAUAUAUAUGUAAAGCUUUGAUAGAGAACCUGUAGUUUGCCCUAAACUUGACUAAAGUAUAAGAGCACAAGUGUUCAUCAAGUAACUAAUUCAUCUGAAUUAAGCAUAACUAGCUCAACCCAACCAUGAGGAAGUAGCCCCAAAAUAACUAUUGCUAGCUUAAGAUUUGGUUUAAGAUUUUUACCACUGAUACAUGAUUAUAUAGCUUUAAGAUUUGGUUUUAGGUAAUCGAAAAACAAUUCAGCUUAUUCGUAUAAUGAACUAGUUGGGCAAUAGAGUAGGCCAUACAAGCUUCUUGAGAGAGAGCAUAAAUGUUUCGACUUUGGAAAAUUGAUUUUGAUAUGAUGUCUGCAUGAAUCAUCUUAUUCUAAAAUUACACAAAAUAAACAGGGCUUAGCAAUAGAAGUCGUCAUUCAGGUUUACAUAUUAUAUGUAAAAGGAUAGAGAAAGAGAGCUAGUUAGGUUAGCUUGAUCUAUAGUGUCAAGAAAUACAUAAAAAAUAAAAAAUAAAAAAAAAUAAAGAAAAAGAUUAUUGAAACUAAACACCACUAUUACCCCAGUGCUUAUUAUUGUUUUCUAUGCAAGCUAGACAAAUGAUGAUUGUUUAGCAAUUUACUUUUUGUAUAUGUCCGAUAUGAAACCAAAGGUGGGGCCAAAAGUAUAUCCAUGAAGAGUUCCAAAAUGAAACUUUUGUAUGCUAAGAACAGAGUCGAACGUGAAUUUAGUGAAGCUAGUUUUGUCUCUUUUCCAUUUGCUUUUGCUCUACCAAAAACCAUGAGUUACUGUCUUAUAUAAUAUCCAUUGCAGGGCUUCCUUUGUUGAAACAACAGUCAUCACAAUUUUAAAUAGAAUAACUUUGCUGUCACAUUAGGUGUUAAAAUUAUUUUUAUAGCCCAUUAUUCUGGAUGAAUAUUAGGUCUCUUUCUCUCCCUCUCUUGUUUGUAUAUAUAUAUAUAUAUAUACAUAUGCAUGAUAAAUUUCAUAAGAAAUUGUAUAUUUAUUAGUUUCAGGGAGGUCUUCCAUCAAAUAAUAUUGUAUGGCAAGUGGAUUAGCAGAACACACUUAACUACUACUAAUAUAUAUAUCCUGCCCUUGUUGACUAAUAGGAUUGAUAAUUGGUUAGGUUAUUUGUUUAAGAAUAGAGAAAUGGACUUAAAAAACUUUCGUUGGCCAAUCCUUUUUUGCAUUAUAGUCCAAGUCCAAAACCAGUAUUGACCACAUGCGCUGCCCAUUUUUCUUCACAUAAUCCUAGGAACUAUAUGAUCCCAUUCACCUAGUUACACCUAACCCUUAAGCUGACUUUGAAGAAAGCAACUUUGCAAUUCAUUUGCCUCCGCCAAAUCAAUUUUAAUUGUUCAGUAUUGGUAGUUUGGUAUGUUAUCUGUGGUUGAUUUCGACUAUAUCCAUUCUCCAAAACACAAAUUUUGAAGAGCUGAGUAAGGAGAAUUCCCAAAGUAUAAGAUGAGAGGAGAGCUAUGGAUGAAGAUUCAGAGGGUGCUUUCAAACAAACUCUGGAGAAAACUGGAGCCUGGAGAUCACAUCUACACAUGGAAGGGAGGCAAUACAAAAUCAUAUCAUGGUGAUUUUUUGGCACUUGUCCCAUUUCUUCUUCUAAAGAUACUAUAGUGGUCUUUUUUUUUUCUUUUCAUUUUAAUUUUAUUUUCUUCAUAUGAUUGGAAUUUGGAAUCUGUAUGUAUAGCAUAUAAACACUAUUCAUGGGAUAUUAUUUGCCUGCUUGUAUGAGACCCCAGGGAUAUAUAUUUUCGAUAAGAAGGUGAUCCACUUUAAUUGUCAUGGUGUGGUCUUUUCAUCCAUAGAAGAUUUUCUUUCUUGAGGAGAUGUCUAUCUCUUUGAAUAUGGUGUCAAUCCAGCUCUCUUCCUCACCAAAUUCUGGGAACAUACUUCCACCCUUGCCUCUGCUGAUCCACCUCAAGUUGUUCAGGACUGUACGGCCUUCCUUCUCAACUAUGGCACCUCCAGUGACUAUUACCACUUCAUAAACAAUGAUGAAGACUUUGCAAUGUAUUGCAAAACAGGAUUGCUAGUAGUAGACAGCAUUGUGUUCAGCAGAAGUUGGCAAACAGCAUUUUUCUUGGCUGUUACUACUGCUGUCUCUCUUUCCCUACUGCAACUUGCCCCUGCUACUUUUACUGGUCUGGUAGCUAGAUGUCUCAGCGUUUACUAUGUUUGUAGAUUGGUUUCUGAUAUCGGAGCUUGUCCUAAUGUUAUCAAAAUUGAAGCAGAGAGAUUGCCAGUGGCUGAUGAGAUAUUGGCUUCUGGUGGUUUGGGCCGUAUUGAAUUCUUAAUUGACCUGUUUUUAAGAAUACUAAUGUGUGCUUUUGCCUUUUUUUGUUUGCUAUUAAGAUUUGGUCUCAGACUCUUCCAGUGCUCUGGACUCUAGCAUGCUUCAUACUUUUCUACUGGGCAGUAUUUGGAAAAGCUGCUUUCUAAUAAGAUACAAAAGAAGCAAAUGAAGCCUAAAGAUCACAUCUUCGCAUGGAGGCGGAACUGAAGGGAUAUAUGUGGGUGAUGGAGAAGUGAUUCACCUCAACGAGGAGAAGACCCUAUUGGUGGUGGUGGUUAAUCAACGGAAUGUCGUGUAGAGUCUUGUAGCAUAAAUAGUUUUCUUGAUGGAGGGGAAUUGUAUCUAUAUAAAUAUGGUGUUAAUCUUGCUUUCUUUAUAGCCAAAACUCAAGGGGGUACCUGUACCCUUGCCUCUACCAGUCCAACAGAAGAUGUCCUGCACCGCGCUCAUUUCCUUGGAAAGCAUGAUGGUUUUGGUGCCUACAAACUUUUCAACAACUGUGAAGACUUUGCAAUAUAUUGCAAAGCUGGCUUGCUGGCAAGGAAUGUCAUUGAUCUUGGCACGAACGGGCAGAUAGCAACCCCAUUUGCUGUUAUUUAUGCAAUCCUUCUUUUUCCACGAGGAUUCCCAGCUAGUAAUUUUAUUGUUGUGUCAGCCAUGUGUUAUGUUAUAUACUCCAUCUUGCGAUUUAUUUAUGAUGCCAAAUAUUGUGGGAGUGCUUGUAAAGUUUCUGUUGAGAGAUUGGCCGCACUUUGGAGAGUUGGUAACUUUUGUGAUAGUUGUAUUGAUUCGUUUUGGAAGGAGAUAGAUUUUGAGGUUUUGAGUGAGGAUUAAGAUAAGUAAAUGCGUUAGCUAAAUUUAUGAUUUACAAGA